RNAcentral lists this long non-coding RNA (5699 nucleotides) under Dermacentor andersoni. Its description in RNAcentral is "uncharacterized LOC126520879". The record is from RNAcentral. Lineage: Eukaryota; Metazoa; Arthropoda; Arachnida; Ixodida; Ixodidae.
GUACCACCGUACCUUGUGUGCAGUACAUCCACUAAUUUCAGGUAAUCAAAAUAAACUAGGGCCCCCCACUACAAUGCCUUUCACAGCUUCAGUAGCUGUUGUGUUGCUUUGGGACAUGAAUCCCCACAAAUCAAUCAUAGCAUCUUGAUAGGUUGUUCAAGUAGACUAACAUGCAAAACAGGAUUCAAUUUUUGGGGGGACUCACACAUGCAACAGUGGGACUGAUAAUUCCGUCAAAAUGUUUAGCUUCAAGAGAAAGGGGGCUGCGACUGAGGAACUGUUCAACAUGUAUUUCUUUUGGGAGUCGUAUCAGUUUCAGUGCGUGCCAUCCAGCACAACCAGCAGAGGCAGACAUGAGAAAUGAAAUGUGUUGAUUGCACGCACUCCCUCAACAUUAUUUUUGCUUCACUUAGCUGUUGAGUGCAUUGUCAGCCCUGGCAGCAGGGGUAUAACUUUGGCAAAUACCUGCUGCUUGCUGUAAGUAGAAAUAUCACUAGGUGGUAUGUCGCACGAGAGUCAAAGUAUCACUACAAAAAUAUCGAUAGUGAGUACAUCUACUGCUGAGUGCCUGUCAGCUAUGUUCUUCUGUAUUCAGGCUUUCAGGCCAUAUAAAUGAAUGCAAAAGCUUCUUUGAUGUUGCCAUGCUUGAAAUGAGCAGCCCUUGUAUGAAUGCCCUGUACAUACCGACCUGCUGGUUUUGCUUCCAGUGCCAGCAGCUCCUCUCCGAGUCCUUGCUCGCACAUUUCACGUUUCUGAUCAGAGGAGAGAACAGUCUUCCAUGGGUGUGUGUGCGCAGGUCGGUUUUAUGCGCACACAGCGAGAUGUAGUAACCUCUGAAGUUUGCAUCUGAGUGAUGCAUCCAAAGGCCUCCAUGCAUGUAUGUGUGUGUCUGUGUGUGUAUCAAAGUUAAUGCCCUUCAUUACGUGGUUUUUAUUUUGUACUUCAUUCUGUGCAGUUGGGUCUGCAUGCUUGCUGUGCAUUCAUGCUAUAUCAAAGUGUCUCUAUGUGUCCUUGUUUCAUCAGCAGCCAAUCAAUUUUGCAGACACCAAGGGCGAGGUUAGUAUAUACGCAGUCAUGUCAAUGUCUUAGGGAAAACAGAAAGCAUGCGUCAAUGGUAGUCGCAUGUUAUCGUGCUUGCAUCGUUUUUGAGAUGCACUAAAGUUAGCUGUGUUUGAAGGGAGCGCAGCUGCUCAGCCAUUUUGCAUUCCAGCCAUUAGGGCACACCUUGAAUCUAAGCUGUAGCAAGCAUUAAAAUAGGAACCAUGAUCUGCCAAGAUUUCUGUAGUAUCUCGAGCAGCAUGUGUAAGUAAAAUUAGCACGACCAAGCUUGGUUAGGUAUUGUUACAUGCUGUAUAAAUUCACAAUUCCUAAAUAGUCUUGUUGUUGAAGGAGCACAUUUGAAAUGCAACAAUUAUUGCGUUAGAAACUUGUCUUUACCUCACUCUUAAAUGGCUGAUGUGAUUUCUUGUGACAGGCUCUUUAAUGUUAUUAUCUAACUCUCAUAAGACUUCAGGACAUCAUACUCAAAUGCGUGGACUCUAUAUGUAAUGGUUAAUCAUAAUUCUAUCUGGAGGACAGCGAAAAAAUGCAUUGCUGUCAUGAUAUAGUCUGCCAGAAAUAUUAUGUGUUUAGAUUUCUUGUAAGGUAGCCACUUAUACUUGUUUGGUUUUGUCACUAUGAGGCAACACUUCUUUCAAUAUCAAUCUUUUAAUGUCAAGUAUAACAACUGAGCUGUGUUACAUUCGGUAAAUGCACACGUAUUCCUUUUUUUGCCAAGUUUGCAGCUUUAUUGUUGUUUUAUCAUUAUGACACCAACACUGUUUUGCUGCAUGCUGUAUAGCAGGAGCUUCAAGCUUACCGCCUGCAUGCAUUUUUUUUUUAUCUUUGAAGAUGUCUCUCCAGGAGCAAUUUCCUGCUGUAAAUACUUUUUAGUCUGCAGCUGCAUUCAAUGUGGGGUACAUCUGGCAGGUCAUGAACUCAAAAAUCUUAGGCACAAUGACAGCUGCCAGCUGGCUUUACUACACUUUUUUUUAUGGACAUUGUAAACAUUUUUUGUGGAAUUGAGCUUGAAUCUAUUGCCGUACAGCUUGCCUGAGCAAGAAUGUCUGUUUGCCUUACAAGCCUUUAUUCUCAUGACACUUCUUUUCUUGCUAUCAAGAGACGGUCUAGGUUUUAUCUGAAAAGAGAGUGGAGAAGAGGAAGAAAGGUUACUGAUUUAUGGUUGGGGUCCAGCAUUUGCAUCCUGUCUUCUGAAUAUUUUGCCCAGCUUUUUUUUUAAUUCUGUAUGGCAAGGCAACUCAUGGUGCUGUGCUGCCGAGCUCGAGGUCGUGGGUUCUAUCCCGGCCGCAGUAGCCACAUUUCAAUUGGGCCUGAGCAAAAUUCCAAAACACUCGUGCACACUAAAAAAAAAACCACAGGUUGUCAAUCUUAAUCCAGUUCCUCACUGCAGCAUGCCUCAUAAUCAGAUCAUGGUUUUGGCACAUAAUACCCUAUAUUUAAUUUUCUUUUAUUCCUUCUUCUCAACAGCCUGCUUCCUCAUCUUCAUCCUUUGAUAGAGCUUAAUGUACAAUCACAAAGACAUCUCAUUUGCCUCUUGGAGUGAACUGCACAUCAGUAUUGUUUUAACCUCUAGCAUAUGAUUUUGUUGGCAUUGUUUGUAUUGAUAAUGUUAGCGAGCAAGCCUUUUUGUUGUUUUUAAUAUGUCCAUAUCUUGUUGCCUUUUUUUUGUUUUGUUAUCACACUGUUUACAUUUCUUGCUUCUGUCUUGCACAGGGUUGAUAAAUAACCAAAUCGUACUUUUACCGUUAUUACAUGAGACGUGUGUACAUCUUUUGAAGCGGUUUGCACUUUUGCAGUUCUGCACUUGGAUAGGGUACUGGUACUUUUUGAGUCUGCAGCAACUCCCCCAUUUCGUAGUCCUAGACACAGAAGGAACCUUUUUUUCAGAACUUGCUGUUGUGUGAAAAUGCACACCAUUGUGCGCUUAGUAUUUGUGCUUACUAGACUGUCUCUGGGCUGUGACAGGAAACUGCAUUGUUGUUGUUGUUUUGUUUGUUUUUUUCAUUUUAUUGCAUCAUCUAUAAUAAGAAAGCUCGAGUUACAAAAUGAUGUUGGUGCAGUAAUAUUCUGGCAUGACUAGAUGGGUAUGACUUUUCUUCCCCCUAAUGUUGCAUGAUUACAGGCAGUUUAUAACUACACGUAAUAGCUAGACAUACAUCGCCUUCUCAGAAUAGAGGAUGACAUUUCUAUUCUCCGUGCCCUUUAUUUUCUGCCUUUUCACCCUUCAUGAUAGUAUUUCCUUUUAUGCUUUUCUGUUGGUGUGCUUGUUAUGUAACCAGUAGAACAUGAUAAGAUUUAAAUGAAAGAGAAGCAUAUCAAAGCUCUUACAUGAGGCGAUGUUGGCUGCAUUAUCUUUUGUUUACAUGCCAUGUUUACUAGCAUUUGCCUGUAAGAAAAAGCACCAGAGGAGCUGCUGACUAGUGUUCUAAUAUUGUUGCCUCACUUUGUGAGUAUUCGGGAUCAGGACCUUGCAUAUCACAUCUCAUCAUUUUGCCUUCAAAUGUAUCAACGAACAAGAACAUGUUACGCCCUUGCAGCAUUGGGAUUCUUUUAUAAAUGUGCAUGUGUCGAAGUGUUCAGAUCACGGCUGUUUCAUGUGCUUCGAAGACUUCUGAAUGUACUAGAGAUACAGAAUGUUAACAGUGAGUUGAUAACACCCCAGUGUGGGGCACCUGUAAAAUGUUUGUUUUUCAGUUUGUUUGUGGCUCUUGUAAAUAUGCUUGUGUUUCAGCUAUGUAAGUACAUGCAUACUGUGGUCUAAAUUUUAGCAAUUUCAUUUGCCUUUCUUGGCAUUAAAUUAAUUUUUGCACAGUGUGUUUGUCGUCUGUUGAGAUUUCUGUUUAUUACUAGUGCCAUUUCCUCUUGCGCUAUAUGAAAUAGUCUUAUUUUAAAGCUUGUUAUUAACCUGGCUCUCUGUGAGUAAACAAAUUGUUGGAAUCGCAUCAAAGCCAUGUACUCAGGGUCAUAUCACAUAUGUCAGAUGCUUUUCAAGCAAGCCAUUUCCUUUUGCCCCUUCCUUUUUCCCUUUUUGUUUUUUGUUUUGUUGAGAUUGUUCUAAGCAUUUCUGUCUCACAUGGAGCUCUUUCUUGCUAUGGCAAGUUCAUUGUCAUUCACACUGUUCCUGAUACGAAGGCAUCAUGUUCACAAGUGACUUUCCCAUACUCUCGUUCUUGUGCACAUUAUUAUUAGUGAGCAUAGGAAUUGCAUGGCCGCAUUGUUUUACAUUAUUUUGCUCAUUAAAAUUUACAUUAAAGCUAGCAUUCACAUUUUCUACCACCACGCUGAUUGUGGUGCUUGGCUUGUACCGCUCUUUUGUCCAUGUAGUCUGCAUUCUUUCCAUUAGAUUACGGUUGUGGUUGCGGACAGUAAAUAUGCUGUUUUUAUUGAUUGUUUUCUAUUUAUAGCCAUAUUUAUUUUCGCUCGAAGGUGUUGUUCUUACAUUUGUGGUGGUAUUUCUCUCCGAUGUAAACUCUUGUGGGGGCCCCAGUGCUUGAAGAUAUUAAUGCACAGUUUUUUGUGACAAGUCACAGGAGACCAAGACAUCUCAAAGUGUGUGUGUGUGUGUGUGUUAGUAUAUUUGCUGUAAGGUUUGAGCUCAGGGGUAAGCAUAUUUGUAGACAUUUAUACUGCCAAUCCUAUUGUAGACAAAAUGCCUUGGGAUUGCAGAGAAUUUCUGCCUGCUGCAUAUUUGUGCUACAAAACUGCUUGUCAGACAUCAUUAGUAUUGAAGAUAUGAUCCAUUUAAGGACAAACAGAUUCAGAGUGUUUAUCUCGUUGUAUAGUUGCAGUGAGAUGCAAAACAGAAAUGUUUCACAAUUAAUUUCGCUGUAAGAAGUACUCUUUACAGACCAGAGCAGCUUCUUCUGUGUGUGUGUGUGUGUGUGUUUUUUGUUACCCUCUGUUGAAGAUGCGGGAAAUACAGUCUGUUGUAUUCACUGUUCCACUCAGUGCCAUUCGUCGAGUUCGUGAAAUUGAAACGUCACAUGCUCUUCCUGUGUGCUUGAUUCCCUGUUGCGUUCAAACAGCUGCAUGUAUGCUAAUGUUGUUAUGUGUUUCUUCAUUGGGAAUUGGCUUUCAUGGAAUAAUUUCACAAAUACUUGUCACUGGAAAAAUUAAAAAGCAAAUCAUACCAUUAUAGCGCAGUGCUUUAGCUCCUAAUUUGUCCUGUAGUAACACAUACUGUUUGGGGCUUUCAAGAUUUUUACCUAUUGGCCUAUUUAUCACUGCUUACUGCUUGAAAGGCACUUUUGGCACCCAUAAGAAAUGUAAUGAAAGUGUCGAAGUUGGUGAAAUUUCUAAGGUGUCAGCACCAUUGUAUAGAUGUCUGCUUUAUUUUUUCCCUUCCUAAGUGUGUUUAAGUGGUUUGGUAAUGUUGCUUUUUCUUUUUUUCUUGUGCAUCCUUAGCCAGAACCCCGUGUAAGCUAGCUAGUGGAGCUUCGGAAAUUCAUAACUAGAACAAAUGCUCAGCAUUUGGUCCUUCAGUUGUGCUUACUUUUGAUGGUGGUCAUGUAUUUAAAAGUGACUGCUUACACUGGUCCGAGACUAUGGCAGGUUGUUUUAGAAAACUAAGGAGGUUUUUGUUAAACUUUGCUGGACAGAUGUGUCUAUGGAUAUUUCGGGAAAUAAAUGGUUGUGGAAAA